UUCCAGUACACUAACUAUGUUACGACUUACCUCCUCUUUAGAAGAGGGUGACGGGCGAUAUGUACACCUAUUAAUCAUAUUCAUAAUGAAAUUUUAAUUUAAGAUUACGUUCAAAUCUUAAUUCAGGUUAUCUUUAGAAAGAAAUUUUUAAAUAAUUUUUAUAAAUAACUUAUUCAAUCUUUUGUAUGUUCUUCACCUUGACCUGACUUUUUAAAUAAAUAUUAAGAGUAGGGGUAAAAAAUUAUUCUUAAGACGGCGGUAUAAAAGAAGUUAAAUAAAAGAAAAAUUUAGCGGGUAUUAUCGAUUCAAGAACAAGUUCCUCUGAUUAGAGAAAAGGCCGCCAAGAAAUAU
Molecule: ribosomal RNA, 351 nt
Filed under: Aptostichus sp. SBA1
Lineage: Eukaryota; Metazoa; Arthropoda; Arachnida; Araneae; Euctenizidae
Description: partial 12S ribosomal RNA
Source: RNAcentral